ACGUGAAACCCGGUCCGAAGCAGGGGGGACCACCCUCCAAGGCUGAACACUCUCCGAUGACCGAUAGCGAACCAGUACCGCGAGGGAAAGGUGAAAAGCACCCCGAGAGGGGAGUGAAACAGCGCCUGAAACCGUGCGCCCCCAAGCAGCGGGAGCCGUUCCGACGACGGUGACCGCGUGCCUUUUGUAGAAUGAGCCUGCGAGUCGCGGCAUGCGGCGAGGUUAAGGGACACCGAGCCGCAGCGAAAGCGAGCCUGAACAGGGCGAUUUGAGUCGCAUGCCGCGGACGCGAAGCCGGGUGAGCUAUCCAUGGGCAGGGUGAAGCGGGGGUAAGACCCCGUGGAGGCCCGAACCCACUUCGGUUGAAAACGGAGGGGAUGACCCGCGGAUAGGGGUGAAAGGCCUAUCAAACCCGGAGAUAUCUCGUUCUCCCCGAAACAGCUUUAGGGCUGGCCCCGGGCAUUGACCAUCGGAGGUAGAGCACUGGACCGGCGAGGGGGCCUCACCGCCUACCGACCCAGACCAAACUCCGAAUGCCGAUGGUUUGGACCCCGGGAGUCAGAGCGCGUGGGCUAAGCUGCGCGCUCGAGAGGGAAACAGCCCAGACCGCCCGCCAAGGCCCCAAAGGCCGUGCUAAGUGGCAAAGGAUGUGCGCCCGCCCAGACAACCAGGAUGUUGGCUUAGAAGCAGCCAUGCAUUCAAAGAGUGCGUAACAGCUCACUGGUCGAGUGGACAUGCGCCGACAAUUCACGGGGCUAAGCACGGCGCCGAAGCGGCGGAAUCAUGAAUUUGAUUGGUAGGGGAGCUUUCCAUGCCGGGCGAAGCCGGAGGCGCGAGCCCCGGUGGACGGCAUGGAAGUGAGGAUGCAGGCAUGAGUAGCGAGAGAGCGGCGAGAAACCGCUCCGCCGAAAACCCAAGGUUUCCUGGGCGAGGCUAAUCCCCCCAGGGUCAGCCGGGAGCUAAGGCGAGGCCGCGAGGCGCAGCCGAUGCACGACGGGCAGACAUUCCCGUGCCGGCGCGGGCGCGCUACGACCGAUGGGACGACGGGGAAGGAUACGCGAGCGGGGUUCUGGACGUCCCCGUGAAAGCGCGUAGGGAGGGGCCCAGGGAAAUCCGGUCCCCACACAUCCCGAGACGCGAGACGAGCCGCACGGCGAAGUCGCGGAUUCCAUGCCUCCUAGAAAAAUCCCUAGGCAGCGCCCACGCCGCCCGUACCAAAACCGACACAGGUGGGUAGGAAGAGCAUUCCGAGGCGAUCGGGGCAACCAUGGUCAAGGAACUCGGCAUAAUCGUCCCGUAACUUAGGGAGAAGGGACGCCCCCCAGCGUGAACCGGCUCGCCCGGGGAGCGCCGGGGGGCCGCAGCGAAAGGGCCCAAGCGACUGUUUACCAAAAACACAGGACUCUGCCAAGCCGCGAGGCGAAGUAUAGGGUCUGACGCCUGCCCGGUGCCGGAAGGUCACGGGGAUCCGUUAGCCUUUGGCGAAGCGGUGAACCCAAGCCCCGGUAAACGGCGGCCGUAACUAUAACGGUCCUAAGGUAGCGAAAUUCCUUGUCGGGUAAGUUCCGACCUGCACGAACGGCGCAACGACUUGGGCGCUGUCUCGACCAUGGGCCCGGCGAAAUUGCAUUAUCCGUGAAGAUGCGGAUUCCCCGCGGAAGGACGGAAAGACCCCGUGAACCUUUACUGCAGCUUGGCAUUGGCCGCAGGCGCGGCGCGUAGAGGAUAGGCAGGAGGCUGCGAAGCCCGGGCGCCAGCCCGGGCGGAGCCGACCUUGGAAUACUGCCCCCGUCGCGUCGGCGGCCUAACCCGGGGACGGCCCGGGGACCGUGCCAGGCGGGCAGUUUGACUGGGGCGGUCGCCUCCCAAAGAGUAACGGAGGCGCGCGCAAGGUCCGCUCAGGACGGUCGGCAACCGUCCGAAGAGCGCAAGAGCACAAGCGGGCCUGACUGCGAGGCAGACAAGCCGAGCAGGGACGAAAGUCGGCUCUAGUGAUCCGGCGGCCCCGAGUGGAAGGGCCGUCGCUCAACGGAUAAAAGGUACUCCGGGGAUAACAGGCUGAUCUUGCCC
This 2070-nucleotide ribosomal RNA is filed under the name human gut metagenome. Its description in RNAcentral is "bacterial LSU rRNA". It matches the Rfam family "Bacterial large subunit ribosomal RNA", at positions 424 to 2493 of the family's 2925-position model. The record is from RNAcentral.